Long non-coding RNA from Coregonus clupeaformis (lake whitefish), 1365 nucleotides. RefSeq lists it as uncharacterized. The transcript is spliced from 5 exons. The record is from RefSeq and is a predicted model, not a curated record. NCBI's taxonomy places the organism in Eukaryota, Metazoa, Chordata, Actinopteri, Salmoniformes, Salmonidae.
AAAAGUUGGUAGGCGGAACCUAACGCCUGAUUGGUUACCCUCUGCAUCAAGCCAAGACAAAUCAAUUCCGGAUAAUGGAUUGAUGCAGAGCUACUGAACACAUUCCAAUACACUGGGUGGCGCUAUUCACCUCUACGUUGGUUUAGUUACACGGUUAAACAGAACUUUCAUUGCAACGGCUAAAAAUCAAGAGAAGACUCGGUCCUGCUAGCCCCAAUGUUGAGACGCUGUGUGAGGUGCAGGACAAAAUGUCUAAAAGUUGCCCGGAGCUGCUGAGAGAAGCAGCGAAUUUGAUUGAGGAAGCUCUGAGCAGAAGUCCAACGGCUCCCGCGGCACCGGCAGCUCAGUCACAGCAGAUACCGGCCGCUCAAUCACGUACACCUGUCCAAGCGGAGGUAGCAAGGCUCUUUGCGCCAUAUAACAUUGGAGCCAGAAGGAAUAUGACGAGACGACCAGCACAAGUCCAAGUUAGCCGAAGAAGCUACACACACACUGUCUGUUGUUUGGCUGACCACAAUGCGGAUAAAAUUCCAAGCGUACUGUUUAAAGCUGAACUUCUUACUUCAGGACUUGGAGAGCAAAAGUAACAUUUUCAGGGAAUGACCACGAUCCCAUGGUUAUAACAAAUAAACUGAUGGAAGUGUUUCCGAAGCUCCAACAAGGGGGAGGCUUUGAAUUUCUAAAACUUGUAGGAUCUACUCGCAGUCGAAAUCUUGCGUUGCUUCAGUGUCCCAGCACUGGAUACACCCUUGCCUAUCUGAAAGAUCCAUCGACGAUGAUUGGACAGGCUACAAUCUACAUACGUCCACUUCAACAGGAUCUACCCUUAGAUUGUGAGAGCUCACGUCCUGCCUCUGGUCCAGUCAUCCCCUGCAUCACUUGUCAGAAGGAAGUUCCCUUUUCAGAGAUGAAGCUGCACAGAUUGAGCUGCAAUGGGACACCCAUGCAGGAAUCAGAAAGAGAACAAGAGGGAGGCCAAAGUGAAGAAAAUGAUAGUGAGACAGCCCUAGUCAGUGACAGUGUUCCAGUGAGGCCUGAAACAUCAGCUGAGAGUGCAGUAGUACCGGCAGUGAUUGUCAACGAGGAGUUGGAUCGCAAAGAAACAGACAGUGGUUUGUGUCAUCACAAUAGUGUUGCUAUAAGAUUGUGUGUAACUGAAAAGUUAAUAGAAAGAUAACACCUGUAGGAUAUAAUUAGAUAAGAUAAUACAGUUACAGACAACUAACCACUUAGUCAUUAUAUCCACAAUAUGAUAGUUAUUUAUCCGAAAUCUAAAUGUGGAAGAUAUUUUGUGAAUGCACCAAUUGUCAACCUUACAAUAUCGUUGCAAUAUCGACAUCAAGGUGUUAGGUCAAAAAUGUGAUA